UAGGGAAUCUUCGGCAAUGGACGAAAGUCUGACCGAGCAACGCAGCGUGAGUGAAGAAGGUUUUCGGAUCGUAAAACUCUGUUGUUAGAGAAGAACAAGGACGUUAGUAACUGAACGUCCCCUGACGGUAUCUAACCAGAAAGCCACGGCUAACUACGUGCCAGCAGCCGCGGUAAUACGUAGGUGGCAAGCGUUGUCCGGAUUUAUUGGGCGUAAAGCGAGCGCAGGCGGUUUCUUAAGUCGGAUGUGAAAGCCCCCGGCUCAACCGGGGAGGGUCAUUGGAAACUGGGAGACUUGAGUGCAGAGGAGGAGAGUGGAAUUCCAUGUGUAGCGGUGAAAUGCGUAGAUAUAUGGAGGAACACCAGUGGCGAAGGCGGCUCUCUGGUCUGUAACUGACGCUGAGGCUCGAAAGCGUGGGGAGCAAACAGG
Molecule: ribosomal RNA, 429 nt
Filed under: Gemmatimonadota bacterium
Lineage: Bacteria; Pseudomonadati; Gemmatimonadota
Description: Gemmatimonadetes bacterium partial 16S ribosomal RNA
Rfam family: Bacterial small subunit ribosomal RNA
Source: RNAcentral